This 799-nucleotide ribosomal RNA is filed under the name Flavobacterium sp. Its description in RNAcentral is "bacterial SSU rRNA". It matches the Rfam family "Bacterial small subunit ribosomal RNA", at positions 59 to 864 of the family's 1533-position model. The record is from RNAcentral. Lineage: Bacteria; Pseudomonadati; Bacteroidota; Flavobacteriia; Flavobacteriales; Flavobacteriaceae.
CAGUCGAGGGGUAUAGUUCUUCGGAAUUAGAGACCGGCGCACGGGUGCGUAACGCGUAUGCAAUCUACCUUUUACAGAGGGAUAGCCCAGAGAAAUUUGGAUUAAUACCUCAUAGUAUAAUGACUCCGCAUCAAGAUAUUAUUAAAGUCACAACGGUAAAAGAUGAGCAUGCGUCCCAUUAGCUAGUUGGUAAGGUAACGGCUUACCAAGGCUACGAUGGGUAGGGGUCCUGAGAGGGAGAUCCCCCACACUGGUACUGAGACACGGACCAGACUCCUACGGGAGGCAGCAGUGAGGAAUAUUGGACAAUGGGCGCAAGCCUGAUCCAGCCAUGCCGCGUGCAGGAUGACGGUCCUAUGGAUUGUAAACUGCUUUUGUACAGGAAGAAACACUGGUUCGUGAACCAGCUUGACGGUACUGUAAGAAUAAGGAUCGGCUAACUCCGUGCCAGCAGCCGCGGUAAUACGGAGGAUCCAAGCGUUAUCCGGAAUCAUUGGGUUUAAAGGGUCCGUAGGCGGUUUAGUAAGUCAGUGGUGAAAGCCCAUCGCUCAACGGUGGAACGGCCAUUGAUACUGCUAAACUUGAAUUAUUAGGAAGUAACUAGAAUAUGUAGUGUAGCGGUGAAAUGCUUAGAGAUUACAUGGAAUACCAAUUGCGAAGGCAGGUUACUACUAAUGGAUUGACGCUGAUGGACGAAAGCGUGGGUAGCGAACAGGAUUAGAUACCCUGGUAGUCCACGCCGUAAACGAUGGAUACUAGCUGUUGGGAGCAAUUUCAGUGGCUAAGCGAAAGUGAUAAG